GCCAAGAUGGCGAAUGUCUUGUUGUUUUGGAAGGGGCAGGGGAAAAAAUGGAGGAUAUUGUAAUGUACACAAAGGGAUACAUCGAGCUUGGCCGGGGUUUUUUUAAGAGGAAGAGACCGCCCAGUGGCAGCUCUCCCCGGCCGGGCUGAACCGGCGAAGCACCGAGGGAACAAACUAGGAGUGAGGACGGCGAGAAACAAGACAAGGACUCGAUGUGGGCUGAUAUUCCCAUGCAAACGGUGGCUCCUUCAUGCAGGAUAAAAAGAACAAUGUGGCUUUAAAGGGGCGAUAUGUGAUCAAACCGAGAGAAAUCACCGGCACACAUGCAGGCGCCACAUGAGAAGGCAUUUGUCAGAAGAAAAAGAGAAGCAGGACAGAUCUUCCUCUGGCAACAGGCUGAGCACAGGCCCUCUGACCCAGACUGGCUUUCCAGACGGGGGAAGAUUAUUUCAUUCAACUGGAAAACAACAAGGGGGAGGGGCGACGGGGGAGUUCUUCUUUUUUUUUUACAGAUGGAGUGGGCAACUGCUCCAGCGUGAUGAGGGUGGGUCGGAGUGGAAGGCCGCCAACUCUGCGUGUCACCCAUCUAUUUUUACCAGACGGCCGUUGGAAGCGAGGAGCUGUGCUUGCACGUAUUGAUUUUUGCACAGACACAUUGAGGGAAUACAGAUGCACCCCCCCCCCCCCCCCACGCGGGAUGAUGCCAUUAACCCAACACACUUCCAUCAACUCCAAGACCUGCAACACAAUCCGGGGAUGAGAAGAAAAGGAGGAGGCUGACAUGAGUUCAAGAUGUUUGUGGACUGGCUGGCGUGUGAAGAAGCAACAUGUCGUGUCCUCUCAGCUUACGUGAGGACUUGGAGUGGAACAUCAAGCAGCUCUGAGGAAUGUUGUCUUCUCAUCCUGGGGGAGGAGAGCUUGUGUCCUGCACACCGAUUACCUCCUCCUUUGUCUCGGUCACACCUCCAUUAUAACACAACAACAACAAAAAUACAAUGAUAGCCAAUAUUUCAAAAUAAAAGCAUGGAAAUAUGGCACCGCCUUAUGGAACGUUUACAAUGAAAACGCAACAACAAAUAAAAUUGUAGCCAAUAUUUCAGAAUAAAAGCAUGGAAAUAUGACAGUAUUAUGGAACGUUUACAAUGAAAACGCGAAAACAAAUACAAUUGUAGCCAAUAUUUCAGA
Molecule: long non-coding RNA, 1185 nt
Organism: Entelurus aequoreus (snake pipefish)
Lineage: Eukaryota; Metazoa; Chordata; Actinopteri; Syngnathiformes; Syngnathidae
Exons: 5
Source: RefSeq, a predicted model, not a curated record